This 258-nucleotide long non-coding RNA is filed under the name Elaeis guineensis (African oil palm). RNAcentral's name for it is "long non-coding RNA (EGUI_LNC042817)". The record is from RNAcentral. Lineage: Eukaryota; Viridiplantae; Streptophyta; Magnoliopsida; Arecales; Arecaceae.
CAUUCUCCUCGUGUAUUACUUUUGGAGAAUACUGAUUCUAUCUAAUUUGUCAUCUUUCUUCUAGGAUGUGUAGGCUAGAAUAAUAUGAUAAUAAAAUUAAAAAAAAUUAUCUAUAGAUCUCUGGAUGGACUCGAUAUUAUUUUUAAGUCUCUUGAUUUUUUAAAUUGAAUAAAAAAUCUCUGAAAUGCUAAGAAGUUAUUUCUAGGUCCUUGCCAUCCCCACAGAUUGAUUACACAGGUCUAUAUUCAGGUUACAUGA